Gopherus flavomarginatus (Mexican gopher tortoise) is the source of this 2047-nucleotide long non-coding RNA. RefSeq lists it as uncharacterized. NCBI's taxonomy places the organism in Eukaryota, Metazoa, Chordata, Testudines, Testudinidae. The record is from RefSeq and is a predicted model, not a curated record. The transcript has 2 exons.
CAUCCUUCUGUACAAUUCUAAUUGUGUUUAUUGCAAACAAAGAAAACAAAAUCAACUCUUUGUCUUCCUACAUUUUUCUAUUUAGACUCCCUAGACUUGUGGUACCCUUUCUCUCCUCCCAUCCUCCCACAACCAAGCCUCACUUUCAGAGGUAUUUUGUGCUCUAGUGGUCACUUCUGGCAGCUCUAGGUGCUCUCCAGAGCAUCAGAUAAAACUUUCUUUGUGAGGUAUACCACAUUUUCUCCAGCGGCAGUUUAAGCCAGACUCCAUCACUGGUUCCUCUGUUGUCUCUAUAACUAGGGCAUUGGUGAAGGUUGGCUAGAUGAGACUCAACCCAAACAAGACCACAACCUGACUUACAGGGUGGGGGAAUCAUUGGAAAAAUCACAGAAGUUAUAGGAACAGCCCAGACUGAUGGGAUAUGAGCACAGUUUGUUUCUAAAGACCAAAAUCUGGGGGGGUCUUGUUAGCUCCCUGGUGGUUUCUGGACACGUGGAAAGCAGCGAUGUAUUUCUUAUUACUUGCAUUUAGCAAGAAGUUUGCUUUGGCAUAUGGCUGUUACCAUACUUACCCAUGCAUUUGUCGCUUCAAGGUUAGAUUGCUACGGUGCAUUCCACAUGAGGUUACAACAUGAUACAGCAGCUUGCUCGGAAUGUGGCAGCCCAGUUUUUAAUCUCUGGAAGUUCAUAACACUGGUGCAGGGGUUGUCAAAUGAAUUACAGGUAAAUAGUUAAGGUGUUGAUUUUGACCAGUAAACUCUAAAUGGUUACAGUACUCUCAAGUCCUUCUUCAGUCACCUGAUGUACUCAGACUAAGAUUCCAUCGGUAUCAGAGAGAACUGGGCUGGUGGCACACUUCUCAGUUGGAAUCAAUGGCUCUUAAAUUCACUUUUCAUCUAGUUGGCCAGAGCUCAGAUUUGAUUACCUUUAGGACCUGCUGUAAAUGUUAUAUAUGUCCCUGGGCUUUCCCUGAAGUGACAGGGAGGUGGACUGAACAGGGUUGCUUGAGGGAUGGAGGAAGGCAUGAGUCUGUAAGACUAUAAAUGGAGCCUAUAUUAGGACUGGGAAAGUCUCCUCUGGGUUGUUCUGUAAUGUACUAGGAAAUCCUGCGACGCUGAAUACAUGUAACAUGCCUAAGGCAUGGAAAAGGCACAAUAAGUCUAGAAAACUGAAAAAUAAGAUAUUAAUUUCUGCAUCAUAUAUAAAUUGUAUAUUCAUCAUGAUAAGUGUAGAACUGAUAAAUGAAAUUGUUUUUAAUUUAUUAAUGUAACUUCUGUUCACCAUCCACACUACACUUGCCUGCACUGUAACUUCUGUUCCAUAUUGUAAUUCAAACCCCAUUUUAAAACGCUCACUCCAUUUUGUAAAAGCUUCCUCCAACCUUCAUUUUUGCAAACCCUGCUGUAAUCUUAUUAGUUUAGUUUAGAUGUGUGAAUGAGGUAUGUAUGGAUGACAGAAUCAACCUCCAGCCCCAGCCUGUCCUGAUGAGAUAAAGUUCAAAUACCAACAGCUGAAGACCUAGACAACAGCCCUAAAAAAAGUAAGAAGCAUCCACCCUAAAAAGAAAAGGACAACAGAACAACAGAAGGAAGAUCAAAGCCAGGUUCAAGGCUGAAAGUCACGCCUGCAAUUGGUGGGUGAUCAAUCCAAACCCAGAGGCAGCGUGACACAGCAAGACCUAUAGACUUUGAAUCCAAACUAAAAGCCUAUAAAAAAGAAGGGUGAGAUGAGAGACUCUGGGUAACAUUCUGCUGCCAACAUGGAAGGACAUCAGUGCCUGCCCAACAGAGAUCCAGCUUGUCCUUGUACCCGGCUUUCCUGGCCAGUUAGCCGCCACAAGCUACGAACCCAAGCUACAAAAUCAAGCUAUGAACUUAAGCUAUCUUCAGGACUGGUAACUAUGCAGCAGCUGCAGAACAUCUGAUGGAUAUGUGUGUGUGUGUGAAUGUGUGUGUAUUAGGUAUAAUGUGUGUGUAUAAGAAUUAAGAUAUUAGUUAUUAGUCAUAAAUCAAAUUGUUAUCAUAAUAAAUGUGGUAUCUUUGUCUUGC